AGUAACCUGCCUUGGAGUGGGGAAUAACAGCUGGAAACAGCUGCUAAUACCGCAUAAUAUGUCUGAAUCGCAUGGUUCUGGACAUCAAAGAUUUAUCGCUCUGAGAUGGACUCGCGUCUGAUUAGCUGGUUGGGCGGGGUAACGGCCCCACCAAGGCGACGAUCAGUAGCCGGACUGAGAGGUUGGCCGGCCACAUUGGGACUGAGACACGGCCCAGACUCCUACGGAAGGCAGCAG
Molecule: ribosomal RNA, 237 nt
Filed under: uncultured bacterium
Lineage: Bacteria
Description: partial 16S ribosomal RNA
Rfam family: Bacterial small subunit ribosomal RNA
Source: RNAcentral